This 1070-nucleotide long non-coding RNA is filed under the name Heterocephalus glaber (naked mole-rat). Its description in RNAcentral is "lncRNA (ENSHGLG00000037898.1)". Lineage: Eukaryota; Metazoa; Chordata; Mammalia; Rodentia; Bathyergidae. The record is from RNAcentral.
GUCUAUUUUGGAGAAUGACCCAUGUGCAGCUGAGAAGAAUGUGUAUUCUGAUUUUGUGGGGUGGAAGACUCUAUAAACAUCUGUUAAGUUCAUUUGUUCAAGAGUUCAAUUGAGUUCUAGUAUUUCAUUACUUAUUUUUAGUCUAGUUGAUCCAUCUAUUUGUGACAGUGGGGUGUUGAGGUCCCCCACUACAAUUGUAUUAGUGCAUAUAUGGCUUUUCAUGUCCGUUAGUAUUUGUUUUAUAUAGUUGGGAGCACUAGUGUUUGGUGCAGAGAUAUUUAUGAUUUUCAUCUCUUCCUCUUGGAUUCUUCCCUUUGCAAGGAUGUAGUGUUCUUCUUCAUCUCUCUUAAUAAGUGUUGGUUUGAAAUCUACUUGAUCUGCCAAGAGGAUAGCUACUCCCACUUUUUUUUUGGGUUCCUGUUGCAUGGAGUAUUGUUUUCUACCCUUUAACUUUCAGUCUAUGAGUUUCCUUUUGAAUUAAGUGUGUUUCUUGUAUUCGGCAUAUUGUUGGAUUUUGCUUCUUGACCCAUUCUGCCAGUCUAUUUCUUUUGAUUGGUGAAUUGAGACCAUUAACAUUGAUGGUUAUAACUGAAAGGUAUUGUCUUGUCCUUGCCAUGACUUUUUCUUUUUGUUGGGUUCUCCCCUUUUACAUUUAAUUUCUUGUCAUGCCAGAUGGGUUCCUUCUGCUUUGCUUCCUGGGGUUGCAAUCCUCAAUGUCUGUUCCUAGGCUAUUGUGUAAAAUUCUUUGGAGUGCUGGUCUGGUAUUCACAAAGUUCCUAAGGUGCUCUUUGUCAUGAAAAUAUCUUAUUUCUCCAUCCAUUUUGAAAGAGAGUUUUGCAGGGUACAUCAAUCUGGGUUGGAGGCUGUUUUCUUUUAGGGCUUGGAAUAUGUCACUCCAAGCUCUUCUUGCCUUGAUGGUUUGUGUUGAGAAGUCUGCUGUGAUUCUGCUGGGCUUUCCUUUGUAUGUGAUUUGUUUCCUUUCUCUGACUGCUUGUAGAACUUUGUUCUUCUGUUGUGUUUCUGGAAUUUUAACAAUUAUAUGUCUAUGUGUAGAUUUUUUUUGAUCGAGG